GACGAACGCUGGCGGCGUGCUUAACACAUGCAAGUCGAACGGAAAGGCCCUGCUUUUGUGGGGUGCUCGAGUGGCGAACGGGUGAGUAACACGUGAGUAACCUGCCCUUGACUUUGGGAUAACUUCAGGAAACUGGGGCUAAUACCGGAUAGGAGCUCCUGCUGCAUGGUGUGGGUUGGAAAGUUUCGGCGGUUGGGGAUGGACUCGCGGCUUAUCAGCUUGUUGGUGGGGUAGUGGCUUACCAAGGCUUUGACGGGUAGCCGGCCCGAGAGGGUGACCGGCCACAUUGGGACUGAGAUACGGCCCAGACUCCUACGGGAGGCAGCAGUGGGGAAUAUUGCACAAUGGGCGGAAGCCUGAUGCAGCAACGCCGCGUGCGGGAUGACGGCCUUCGGGUUGUAAACCGCUUUCGCCUGUGACGAAGCGUGAGUGACGGUAAUUGGUAAAGAAGCACCGGCUAACUACGUG
Molecule: ribosomal RNA, 468 nt
Filed under: uncultured bacterium
Lineage: Bacteria
Description: partial 16S ribosomal RNA
Rfam family: Bacterial small subunit ribosomal RNA
Source: RNAcentral